GCGGACGUGGCGAAACUGGUAGACGCAAGAGACUUAAAAUCUCUCAGCCUUUGGCUAUGCGGGUUCGAUCCCCGCCGUCCGCA
This 83-nucleotide transfer RNA is filed under the name Allobosea spartocytisi. RNAcentral describes it as "Bosea spartocytisi tRNA". It matches the Rfam family "tRNA". From Rfam's summary of the family: Transfer RNA (tRNA) molecules are approximately 80 nucleotides in length. Their secondary structure includes four short double-helical elements and three loops (D, anti-codon, and T loops). The record is from Rfam by way of RNAcentral. Lineage: Bacteria; Pseudomonadati; Pseudomonadota; Alphaproteobacteria; Hyphomicrobiales; Alloboseaceae.